Molecule: ribosomal RNA, 216 nt
Filed under: uncultured bacterium
Lineage: Bacteria
Description: partial 16S ribosomal RNA
Rfam family: Bacterial small subunit ribosomal RNA
Source: RNAcentral
AAUCAACGCUGGCGGCGUGCCUAACACAUGCAAGUCGAACGCGAAAGUCCCGCAAGGGAUGAGUAGAGUGGCAAACGGGUGAGUAACGCGUGGGUGACCUGCCUUCGAGCGGGGAUAACGUUCCGAAAGGGACGCUAAUACCGCAUAACAUCCUGCCUUUUAAGAGGUGGAGAUCAAAGCCGGGGAUCGCAAGACCUAGCACUUGAAGAGGGGCCC